This 497-nucleotide ribosomal RNA is filed under the name uncultured bacterium. RNAcentral describes it as "partial 16S ribosomal RNA". It matches the Rfam family "Bacterial small subunit ribosomal RNA", at positions 28 to 507 of the family's 1533-position model. The record is from RNAcentral.
GAUGAACGCUGGCGGCGUGCCUAAUACAUGCAAGUCGAGCGAACGGACGAGAAGCUUGCUUUUCUGAUGUUAGCGGCGGACGGGUGAGUAACACGUGGAUAACCUACCUAUAAGACUGGGAUAACUUCGGGAAACCGGAGCUAAUACCGGAUAAUAUUUCGAACCGCAUGGUUCAAAAGUGAAAGACGGUCUUGCUGUCACUUAUAGAUGGAUCCGCGCUGCAUUAGCUAGUUGGUAAGGUAACGGCUUACCAAGGCAACGAUGCAUAGCCGACCUGAGAGGGUGACCGGCCACACUGGAACUGAGACACGGUCCAGACUCCUACGGGAGGCAGCAGUAGGGAAUCUUCCGCAAUGGGCGAAAGCCUGACGGAGCAACGCCGCGUGAGUGAUGAAGGUCUUCGGAUCGUAAAACUCUGUUAUUAGGGAAGAACAUAUGUGUAAGUAACUGUGCACAUCUUGACGGUACCUAAUCAGAAAGCCACGGCUAACUACGUG